This is a long non-coding RNA of Erinaceus europaeus (western European hedgehog), 942 nucleotides long. RefSeq lists it as uncharacterized. The transcript is spliced from 3 exons. The record is from RefSeq and is a predicted model, not a curated record. NCBI's taxonomy places the organism in Eukaryota, Metazoa, Chordata, Mammalia, Eulipotyphla, Erinaceidae.
UCCAUUUUUAUGAAGAUUGAAAGCUUAAUCAAGAGCAUGCAUACUCUGGUCUGUAGUAAAUCUCUCUCUCCCAUCGUAUUUUCCCAUCCUCUAUUUCUGUACAGACUUCUAUGUUGAGGUAAAUAGAUUUUUUCAUAAGAAACACGAAACAGAACCUUGUACUUUGGUAGCUCUUCCUACAAAAGCAAAGCUGCAUCAACAACACAAGGUAAGAGAACAUCAACAAAUAUGUAACAGGUACCUUCAAGGAAGUAAAUCAGAGCUAAAUAAACAUGGAUUGUGUGAGCUGUGCAUUUCUGCAAACAGAGAAAUUUGGUGCCAGGUUUCCAAAGCAUCACUCUCUUGGGCUGUUGUUAAGUGCUUCCAUUUGAAUAAUGCCAGUUUCUUUUACUCACAAAUAUUAAAUAUGAGAGUCUAGUCUUCCUCCAUCUCCUUGGUCACCCAUGUGGUGUUGUUUGCUUGAUAAAUUGCUUUUGUUUUGUAUUUCUUCAUUUAUAAGUGUCAUUAUCCAGCACUGCUUUACAAGGACUGGUCCUCAAGAAGCUGGCUUUCUGGGUCAAUGUUGGCUUUCUUCGUGAUACUAUUGAACCCAAGAAUAUCCUACCAGUAGAUAGGACAAUCACACUGGAUGUGACAGAGAUAACAUGCCUGGCCCUAAAGAUGGAUGCAGAGGGUCACCACUCAGAAGAUAAGCAAGGAAUGUUGACUUAUGAGGGAGACCCAGAAUUUGCAGCAUGGACGUUAGAACCAGGAGACCGCAAUUUAAAAAGAGUUGCUGAGGACAGAACAACAGUCUCUCGAGCCAGAGGCACAUUUCACUCCCUAGGACACGUGAAUACUUCACACAGCCUAGAAACUUGCAGGUGUGACUAAUUGAAGGAGAGAGGCCCUGUUUGCCCAGGUGGGUCCAGUGCAAUUAGAAUGCCACUAAUAAGGAGGUAA